UCCUGAGCAUGGCUGCCCAUUGUGGUUAAUCUCGCACACAGGCAGUAAUUGGAAUAUAACAGUGGGAGUGCUGAAUUGAAGCUGCCCUGCGACUACUCUGAGUCUUGGGUAAAAACAACCCUUCCAUGGAAUGCUGUGGGAUCAUGUGCUCUCUGAUAACCUCACACUAUAUAAUAUAAUGAGAAACUGCUGAAAAAACGGCAAGACGACUGAGACGUCAAGUAUGUCCUAUGAAAAGCCCAGGAAAGCAAAACAUAUGAGCUGUCAGGGAAACAUUUCAUGGAGGUCUUCCAUCUUCUGAGAACUUUGGUAAAUUUUGGGUGGAAAAGCUUUAAACUACAGAAAAUAACUAUGUUGAUAUUACUGUCCUCGUUGAGCUUAUUGACUGGAAAGGGUAACAGAUAUAAAAACAAAUAAGUUUUGAAUUGCUUAAAGAAAAUUGUUCUUUCACUGAUACUAAUUGCUCUAAUAAUUGUAUAACAGAGGGCAUGUGGCCUUCUAUGCAAAAGUGGCAUUUAGAAUUCAUGCAGUCUCAAAAAGAAUUCAAGUUAUAUACAGCUUCAUGUAUCUGUGGUAUAGUUUUAAAAAGGUACAUUCUACUACAAAACAAGACUCAAAAUAAAUGCAGGGAUACCAAUUGAA
This is a long non-coding RNA of Cavia porcellus (domestic guinea pig), 642 nucleotides long. RefSeq lists it as uncharacterized. Lineage: Eukaryota; Metazoa; Chordata; Mammalia; Rodentia; Caviidae. The record is from RefSeq and is a predicted model, not a curated record. The transcript is spliced from 3 exons.